Molecule: transfer RNA, 74 nt
Filed under: Buchnera aphidicola (Cinara strobi)
Lineage: Bacteria; Pseudomonadati; Pseudomonadota; Gammaproteobacteria; Enterobacterales; Erwiniaceae
Description: transfer RNA Arginine
Rfam family: tRNA
About the family: Transfer RNA (tRNA) molecules are approximately 80 nucleotides in length. Their secondary structure includes four short double-helical elements and three loops (D, anti-codon, and T loops). Further hydrogen bonds mediate the characteristic L-shaped molecular structure. tRNAs have two regions of fundamental functional importance: the anti-codon, which is responsible for specific mRNA codon recognition, and the 3' end, to which the tRNAs corresponding amino acid is attached (by aminoacyl-tRNA synthetases). tRNAs cope with the degeneracy of the genetic code in two manners: having more than one tRNA (with a specific anti-codon) for a particular amino acid; and 'wobble' base-pairing, i.e. permitting non-standard base-pairing at the 3rd anti-codon position.
Source: RNAcentral
GCAUCCGUAGCUUAGUUGGAUAGAGCACUCGGCUACGAACCGAGAGGUUGGAGGUUCGAAUCCUUCCGGAUGCA